CGGACUCAGACCAGCAGAUUCCCACUGUUUAUCCACUGUUUGUGUUGAUGCAGUGUUUGGCCAGCCACUUGUGUGUUUUGGGGGCUCAGACCAGCAGAUUCCUACUAUUUAUCCACUGUUUGUGUUGAUCUAGUGUUUGGCCAGCCACUUGUGUUUAUGUAGGGGAUUCAGACCAACAGAUUCCCACUGUUUAUCCACUGUUUGUGUUGAUCUAGUGUUUGGCCAGCCAGUUGUGUGUUUUGGGGGCUCAGACCAGCAGAUUCCCACUGUUUAUUCACUGUUUGUGUUGAUCUAGUGUUUGGCCAGCCACUUGUGUGUUUUGGGGCUCAGACCAGCAGAUUCUCACUGUUUAUUCACUGUUUGUGUUGAUCUAGUGUUUGGCCAGCCACUUGUGUGUAUGUAGGGGACUCAGACCAGCAGAUUCCCACUGUUUAUCCAUUGUUUGUGUUGAUGCAGUGUUUAGCCAGCCACUUGUGUGUAUGUAGGGGACUCAGACCAGCAGAUUCCCACUGUUUAUCCACUGUUUGUGUUGAUGCAGUGUUUGGCCAGCCACUGUGUGUAUGUAGGGGACUCAGACCAGCAGAUUCCCACUGUUUAUUCACUGUUUGUGUUGAUGCAGUAUUUGGCCAGCCACUUGUGUGUAUGUAGCGGACUCAGACCAGCAGAUUCCCACUGUUUAUCCACUGUUUGUGUUGAUGCAGUGUUUGGCCAGCCACUUGUGUGUUUUGGGGGCUCAGACCAGCAGAUUCCUACUAUUUAUCCACUGUUUGUGUUGAUCUAGUGUUUGGCCAGCCACUUGUGUUUAUGUAGGGGACUCAGACCAGCAGAUUCCCACUGUUUAUCCACUGUUUGUGUUGAUCUAGUGUUUGGCCAGCCAUUUGUGUGUUUUGGGGGCUCAGACCAGCAGAUUCCCACUGUUUAUUCACUGUUUGUGUUGAUCUAGUGUUUGGCCAGCCACUAGUGUGUUUUGGGGGCUCAGACCAGCAGAUUCUCACUGUUUAUUCACUGUUUGUGUUGAUCUAGUGUUUGGCCAGCCACUUGUGUGUAUGUAGGGGACUCAGACCAGCAGAUUCCCACUGUUUAUUCACUGUUUGUGUUGAUGCAGUAUUUGGCCAGCCACUUGUGUGUAUGUAGCGGACUCAGACCAGCAGAUUCCCACUGUUUAUCCACUGUUUGUGUUGAUGCAGUGUUUGGCCAGCCACUUGUGUGUUUUGGGGCUCAGACCAGCAGAUUCCUACUAUUUAUCCACUGUUUGUGUUGAUCUAGUGUUUGGCCAGCCACUUGUGUUUAUGUAGGGGACUCAGACCAGCAGAUUCCCACUGUUUAUCCACUGUUUGUGUUGAUCUAGUGUUUGGCCAGCCACUUGUGUGUAUGUAGGGGACUCAGACCAGCAGAUUCCCACUGUUUAUUCACUGUUUGUGUUGAUCUAGUGUUUGGCCAGCCACUUGUGUGUAUGUAGGGGACUCAGACCAGCAGAUUCCCACUGUUUAUCCAUUGUUUGUGUUGAUGCAGUGUUUGGCCAGCCACUUGUGUGUAUGUAGGGGACUCAGACCAGCAGAUUCCCACUGUUUAUCCACUGUUUGUGUUGAUGCAGUGUUUGGCCAGCCACUUGUGUGUAUGUAGGGGACUCAGACCAGCAGAUUCCCACUGUUUAUUCACUGUUUGUGUUGAUGCAGUGUUUGGCCAGCCACUUGUGUGUAUGUAGGGGACUCAGACCAGCAGAUUCCCACUGUUUAUCCACUGUUUGUGUUGAUGCAGUGUUUGGCCAACCACUUGUGUGUUUUGGGGGCUCAGACCAGCAGAUUCCUACUAUUUAUCCACUGUUUGUGUUGAUCUAGUGUUUGGCCAGCCACUUGUGUUUAUGUAGGGGACUCAGACCAGCAGAUUCCCACUGUUUAUCCACUGUUUGUGUUGAUCUAGUGUUUGGCCAGCCACUUGUGUGUUUUGGGGGCUCAGACCAGCAGAUUCCCACUGUUUAUUCACUGUUUGUGUUGAUCUAGUGUUUGGCCAGCCACUAGUGUGUUUUGGGGGCUCAGACCAGCAGAUUCUCACUGUUUAUUCACUGUUUGUGUUGAUGCAGUGUUUGGCCAGCCACUUGUGUGUAUGUAGGGGACUCAGACCAGCAGAUUCCCACUGUUUAUCCAUUGUUUGUGUUGAUGCAGUGUUUGGCCAGCCACUUGUGUGUAUGUAGGGGACUGAGACAAGUUUAUUUAAUGUUCAGUGACCCGUUUGCAGGCACAGGGGUGUUGACGAGCUGGGUGUGCAGGAGACAGACAAUUACAAAGGUUUACAGUUCAAAUGGUACAUGUAUCUUCAAAAUACAGAUAAUAAGUAGAUAAAUAUUGAAAUUAAUAUAGAAUACCAUUCUUUAUUUAACACUUAACCAAACUUAACCAACAUACACACACACGCUAACUCAGACAGUUCCCUAACUACCUUACCAUCCCGCAGGAGGCCAUGUCGGAGGUGCCGGUGGUGGGGUCGCCAGUUCCGGAGUACGAGGUGGAGGAGGAAAAGGAAGAGGAGGACGAGGAGGAGGCACGGAUAAGGAAGAAGAAAAGAUUAUUACCUGUAGCCCUCCCUCCAGCUGAUAAGGGGAUAUUAAGGAGCCCUUCCUACAGGUUCGUUCGAUGCAAGGAGUUGGCACAGGAGGCGUCCGAGGCUGUGUAGAGCGGCCGUCUGAACCUGGUGCCACAGCUUACUAUGUUCAACAGGUGCGUGUGUGUGUGUGUGUGUGUGUGUGUGUGUGUGUGUGUGUGUGUGUGUGUGUGUGUGUGUGUGUGUGUUUUGUGUGGUCAUUUCACUAUCUAUCUAUCUGUUUAGUUUGUCUCCAUCUGUCUGUCUUUCUGUCAUUGGUCUGUCUGUCUGUCUGUGUAUUGCAAUGAUUUUUCAGUUAUGUAUUUUAUUUUUUAUUCUUGUGUACUUGUGUCUGUCUGUAUGUAUGUAUGUAUCAGUCAGUGAGUCAGUCAGUCAGUCACUCAGUUAGUCAGUUAGUCAGUCAUUCAGUCAGUCAGUUAGUCAGUCAUUCAGUCAGUUAGUGAGUUAGUCAGUUAGUCAGUCUGUCAGUCACUCACACAGUGUUAAUCCUCCUCUUCCUCCUCCUCCUCCUCCUCCUCCUCCUCCUCCUCCUCCUCCUCCUCCUCCUCCUCCUCCUCCUCCUCCUCCUCCUCGUCCACCUCCUCCUCCUCCUCCUCCUCCUCCUCCUCCUCCUCCUCCUCCUCCUCCUCCUCCUCCUCCUCCUCCUCCUCCUGUUCCCCACCACCCCUGCCGAGAGGUGAGUGUAUGUACGUGUGUGUGUGUGUGUGUGUGUGUGUGUGUGUGUAGUAAUAAUAGUAAUGCUAUGUACAUAUAUAAAUACUGUUAAUAUUAUUGAUAAAAAAUAUUGAUGAUGAUGAUGAUGAUGAUUCAGUGGUGAUUAUGAAAAUGUGCAUUACAAUAUAGGGUAGAUAUUAUUGUUAUUACCUGUGUGUGUGUGUGUGUGUGUGUGUGUGUGUGUGUGUGUGUGUGUGUGUGUGUGUGUGUGUGUGUGUGUGUGUGAGGAAUAAUUGAAUAAUUGAAUAAUUGAUGCUCUCUCCUUUGCUAUUCAUUAUAUACAUGGACAGAUGCCUGAAGGAAGUGUGUGUAAGGGAGGAUAAAGAGAUCAUGCUGGCCUAUGCAGACGAUGUCGCUGUCGUGACAGGAAGCCAACAAGAUCUUCAAGAGGCCAUGACAAGAUGGAAUGAUGUUUUAAAUAGGGAAGGAAUGAGAAUGAACAAACAAAAAACUUAUUUACUAGUGGACAAGCAACAAGUGAUGGUGUGGCUCUGAGCCACUGUAGUAGGGAUGUUAUGGUUUAAGUGUAGGAAGUUGCAAAUGCUCACCUAACAAUUGCACCUUAGUAGAAAAACACAAACAGGAAGUUUAUGCAAGUUUUUAUCCUUAUAUAAAAUGUUGUAUUGCAUCAAACCUCCAUACAUUACUGUCUCUAUCCAGUAUGAGACCGGUGUUCAGGAAGCACAAGCAUGUGCUGAAUAACAAGAAGCCGGCAUUGGUGAAGGUGACAACAUUUCAUCUAUUUAUACAUACUUUUUAUUAUUAAAGCUUAUCUUAUAAUUAUUUCUGAAGAGAUUGACUAAUUUUUGUAGUAUUUAUGACUUAGAACUAUGAUAAAGCUAUGAAUUGAUAUAAUUCCUGAUUUG
Scylla paramamosain (green mud crab) is the source of this 4178-nucleotide long non-coding RNA. RefSeq lists it as uncharacterized. NCBI's taxonomy places the organism in Eukaryota, Metazoa, Arthropoda, Malacostraca, Decapoda, Portunidae. The transcript is spliced from 2 exons. The record is from RefSeq and is a predicted model, not a curated record.